UGAGUAACACGUAUCCAACCUGCCGAUAACUCCGGGAUAGCCUUUCGAAAGAAAGAUUAAUACCGGAUGGCAUACGAAUAUCGCAUGAUAUUUUUAUUAAAGAAUUUCGGUUAUCGAUGGGGAUGCGUUCCAUUAGUUUGUUGGCGGGGUAACGGCCCACCAAGACUACGAUGGAUAGGGGUUCUGAGAGGAAGGUCCCCCACAUUGGAACUGAGACACGGUCCAAACUCCUACGGGAGGCAGCAGUGAGGAAUAUUGGUCAAUGGGCGAGAGCCUGAACCAGCCAAGUAGCGUGAAGGAUGAAGGCUCUAUGGGUCGUAAACUUCUUUUAUAUGGGAAUAAAGUUUUCCACGUGUGGAAUUUUGUAUGUACCAUAUGAAUAAGGAUCGGCUAACUCCGUGCCAGCAGCCGCGGUAAUACGGAGGAUCCGAGCGUUAUCCGGAUUUAUUGGGUUUAAAGGGAGCGUAGGUGGAUUGUUAAGUCAGUUGUGAAAGUUUGCGGCUCAACCGUAAAAUUGCAGUUGAAACUGGCAGUCUUGAGUACAGUAGAGGUGGGCGGAAUUCGUGGUGUAGCGGUGAAAUGCUUAGAUAUCACGAAGAACUCCGAUUGC
This 610-nucleotide ribosomal RNA is filed under the name uncultured Bacteroidales bacterium. RNAcentral's name for it is "bacterial SSU rRNA". It matches the Rfam family "Bacterial small subunit ribosomal RNA", at positions 107 to 716 of the family's 1533-position model. Lineage: Bacteria; Pseudomonadati; Bacteroidota; Bacteroidia; Bacteroidales. The record is from RNAcentral.